This 173-nucleotide non-coding RNA is filed under the name Mollicutes bacterium. RNAcentral describes it as "6S RNA". It matches the Rfam family "6S / SsrS RNA". Rfam says of the family: E. coli 6S RNA was the first non coding RNA to be sequenced, but its function was unknown until recently. It consists of 184 nucleotides that fold into an extended hairpin structure with a large single-stranded internal bulge. The record is from RNAcentral. Lineage: Bacteria; Bacillati; Mycoplasmatota; Mollicutes.
AAGAUGCUUAGAGAUAGUUUAUUAGUAUAUAAAACCGACAAAGAUAAAAUAAGGGAGUCUAAUGGAUUUACGGUGUGAAAACUUAAUUUAAUUAAGGAUCCUAAAGUAAUCUUGUGACUUACCACCUGCGAAGAGCGGGCUUUAUCAACGAUAGACUUUCUUUAAGCAUUUUU